GAUGAACGCUAGCGGGAGGCCUAACACAUGCAAGCCGAGCGGUAGAGUUUCUUCGGAAACUUGAGAGCGGCGCACGGGUGCGUAACACGUGUGCAACCUACCUUUAUCUGGGGGAUAGCCUUUCGAAAGGAAGAUUAAUACCCCAUAAUAUAAUGAUUGGCAUCAAUUAUUAUUGAAAACUCCGGUGGAUAGAGAUGGGCACGCGCAAGAUUAGAUAGUUGGUGAGGUAACGGCUCACCAAGUCAAUGAUCUUUAGGGGUCCUGAGAGGGAGAUCCCCCACACUGGUACUGAGACACGGACCAGACUCCUACGGGAGGCAGCAGUGAGGAAUAUUGGACAAUGGGUGAGAGCCUGAUCCAGCCAUCCUGCGUGAAGGAUGACGGUCCUAUGGAUUGUAAACUUCUUUUGUACAGGGAUAAACCUACCCUCGUGAGGGUAGCUGAAGGUACUGUACGAAUAAGCACCGGCUAACUCCGUG
This 479-nucleotide ribosomal RNA is filed under the name uncultured bacterium. RNAcentral describes it as "partial 16S ribosomal RNA". It matches the Rfam family "Bacterial small subunit ribosomal RNA", at positions 28 to 507 of the family's 1533-position model. The record is from RNAcentral.